GAUGAACGCUGGCGGCGCGCCUAACACAUGCAAGUCGAACGGUUAAAGCACCUUUUAGGUGUGUAUAAAGUGGCGAACGGCUGAGUAACACGUGGGCAACCUGCCCUCCUCUUGGGGAUAGCCUCGGGAAACCGAGGAUAAUACCCGAUACUUCAAUGUGGCCGCAUGACGACAUUGAGAAAGCUUUUGCGGAGAAGGAUGGGCCCGCGGCCUGUUAGCUUGUUGGUGGGGUAGAGGCCUACCAAGGCAAUGAUGGGUAGCUGGGUUGAGAGACCGACCAGCCAGAUUGGGACUGAGACACGGCCCAGACUCCUACGGGAGGCAGCAGUGGGGAAUCUUGCACAAUGGGCGAAAGCCUGAUGCAGCGACGCCGCGUGCGGGAAGAAGGCCUUUCGGGUUGUAAACGCUUUCAGCAGGGACGAGGCGAAAGUGACGGUACCUGCAGAAGAAGCCCCGCUAAUC
Molecule: ribosomal RNA, 462 nt
Filed under: Lancefieldella rimae
Lineage: Bacteria; Bacillati; Actinomycetota; Coriobacteriia; Coriobacteriales; Atopobiaceae
Description: bacterial SSU rRNA
Rfam family: Bacterial small subunit ribosomal RNA
Source: RNAcentral